RNA transcript from Anolis sagrei ordinatus, 1283 nucleotides. It is a transcript of the gene named potassium channel tetramerization domain containing 4, with no coding region annotated. The record is from RefSeq and is a predicted model, not a curated record. NCBI's taxonomy places the organism in Eukaryota, Metazoa, Chordata, Lepidosauria, Squamata, Anolidae.
GCUUCUACGCCACCUACUGCAAACUGUGCUGACAAGCUCAUGCAAUGCUCAGAGCACUCCCAUUCGAUCAUUAUUCUGGAACUGAAUAACAGCGCUUUAAGAAGAAAUCUCUGCACAAAGCCAAAGAAGAGAAAGGGGAGAAAGGCAUUCCUGAGAAUGGAACACCAAACAAACAGGCAUGAAACGGAGGACGACAAAAAAGGCAACGGCUCCGAAAGCACCGACCAAGGCAAGAACUGUAAAAUGUCUCCAAUUACUCUCAAUGUUGGUGGAUAUUUGUAUGUUACGCAAAAGCAAACACUUUGCAAGUACCCAGACUCUUAUUUGGAAAGAGUUGUAAAUGGGAAAAUUCUAUGUCCGUCUGACGCAGAGGGCCAUUAUUUCAUAGACAGGGAUGGUCUGCUCUUUCGGCACGUUCUGAACUUCUUACGGAAUGGAGAACUGCUUCUACCAGAGGGAUUUAAAGAAAAUCAACUUCUGGCACAAGAGGCUGGAUUCUUUCAGCUCAAAGUAUUGGCUGAUGCAGUGAAAUCAAGGUGGGAGAAGGAGCAGCUCGCAUCCAGAGAGACUACCUUCCUAGAAAUAACUGACAGCCACGACCGUUCACAGGGCCUUCGGAUUUUUUGCAAUGCUCCCGAUUUCAUAGCAAAAAUAAAAUCUCGCAUUGUUUUGGUGUCCAAAAGCAGGCUGGAUGGCUUCCCAGAAGAGUUUUCCAUCUCUUCCAACAUUAUUCAGUUUAAAUACUUCAUAAAGUCAGAAAAUGGAACUCGGCUUGUUUUGAAGGAAGAUAAUACUUUCGUUUGCACCCUGGAAACUCUUAAAUUUGAAGCUAUUAUGAUGGCAUUGAAGUGUGGAUUUAGGUUGCUGACCAGUCUGGAUUGUACCAAAGGGUCAAUUGUUCACAGUGAUGCACUUCAUUUUAUCAAGUAAUUACUUCUCUCAAUAGACAAAAGGCCAUAAGCAUGCAGCCUGUGAAUUUCAUUAAACUUCAAGACAUCGCAAAAUGAUUUCAUCAGCUCUGUCUAUCACAGAGCACUGCUGCUAAUGAAUAAAUAUGAGCUAAUGAUUCCAUUUCUUCAGGCCAAAAACCAUGGAGUGUGGCUAAUUAACCUGCUCCCCUCUUCCUAAAGAACCUGUUUCUGCUGUCUUACAUUCCUUCAUCACUCACUUCAUUAUCUUUUCCGACUCUUUUUCUCCUUCCCAUCACUUCAUAACACCACCAUACUUCCCUCCCUUGCUCUUGGCACCCUCUCACUGGAUCUCCAACUCCAUCCCUCCUUCGA